RNAcentral lists this long non-coding RNA (2041 nucleotides) under Marmota monax (woodchuck). Lineage: Eukaryota; Metazoa; Chordata; Mammalia; Rodentia; Sciuridae. The record is from RNAcentral.
GCCAAACCAGGCAGUCCUGAUUACAAACAUCUAUAAAACAAAAUAAGCAAAAUUCUCUUCAGAAUUCUAUCUUACCUUCAGAAACUAAUCUUUCUCUGGGUGUGCCACAUGGCACAAAAGUAAAUCACUGAGGGGCAGGGGGUGCAGAUUGUGUGCUUAGCAUGCUAGCAUGGUCAAGGCCAUGAGUUCAAUUCUCAACACCAAAAAAAAAAAAGUAAUCCAUAAAGGUAGUCAUAAUUUAAACAAAACACAAAAUAGUGCCUUUGGAAUAACUAGCUUCCUCAGUUCAAAGCAUAUAUAAAACCAUAUCUUUUCAAUAUUCAAAGUAAUCUAACUUAUAGGAGACAAUGUCAUGGAAAUAAUCCCCAUUUCCAUGAUUGAAAAACUCACUCCCUACCUGAGGAUCUUUAGUUCAUAUUCAAACACUCUGCCUUAGUUCCUCACACUCACCCACAAGGGUUGGAUGGCUGGGUCAGAGGUAUGUCUAACUUCCCCUGCAUUACAGUGCCCCUGGUUACACUGCCACCCUGGUCAUCAAGUCUAGGUUUGGAUUCAGAUUCCUUUUCUAAGUGACUGCCUGGGGACACUCAGAAUCUUUUCCUGAUGGAGGCCUUCAGCUAGCCCAGCUCAAUACAGCUGAAAUAUCCUAAUAACAUUAUACCUUUGGAGGGAAGGAAUGUGUGCCUGAGGGUUUCAAUCCCAGAGUACCUAGAAACAUAAUAACUCUAUGGUCAUGAAACCAGAGAAUAAGUUGAUCAGGUGACCAAUGUUAACUUCACAAACUAAACAUCUAUAUUUUUUAUUAAAGAAAGAUCUCAAAUCAACAACUUAAUUUUCUACCUUAAGAACUAGGGGAAAAAAAGGGGCUUGGGGAUGUAGCUCAGUCAUAGAGCACUUGCCUAGCAUACAAGAGGCCGUGGAGUUCAAUCUCUAGCACUUCAAAAACAAAAAGAACAACAACAACAACAACACAUACACACACUCUUCCUCUCUUUCACAUACACACAGACACAUACACACACACAUACACACACACAAACACAACUAGAAAAACUGAUAAAUCUUUAGCUAGACUGAGGGAUGAAAACAAAAUUGAAGACUCAAAACUAUAAAAUCAAGACUGAAAAAGAGGAAACCACCCUAAUUUAGGUUGGGGUGGGUGGGAAGGAUGAAAAGAAAACACUAUGAACAACUGCAUGCCAACAGAUUAAGUAACUCAGAUGAAAAGGACAAAUUACUAGUAUGAUGCAAAGUACUCAAAAUGACCCUCCCCUUACAAAAAUAGAAAGUCUGAACAGGACUGUAAUGCCUGAGGAGACUGAAUUAGUAAUUUAAAAAUCUCACACAAAGAAAAGCUCAGGUCCAGAUUACUUCAUUUGGUAAAUUUUGACAAAUGCUUAAAGAAUUAAAGAAUUAUACUAACCCUUCAUAAGCUUUUCUGAAAAAUAGAAGAGUAGGUUAUACUUCUCAAUUCAUUCAAAGAUACCACAAGGAAAACAAAUAAGCAAGCAAACAAACAAAAUCACAAAAACUACAAAAAAUCCCUACUAACCAAUAGCCCUUAUGAAUAUAGAUACAAAAAUUCUCAUCAAAAUAUUAGCAAACUGACUAUAGCAACAUAUAAAAAGGAUCAUACACUAUUACAAAAUGGAAAUUAUUCUUGGAAUGCCAGGUUGGUUUAAGAUCUGAAAACCAAUUAGUGUAAUAUUACAAAUUAAGGGCAAAAUUAAUUUGAUUAAUCCCCAUAGAUGCCAACAAAGCAUUUGGCAAAUAUGAUGUCUUUUCAUGAUGAAAAUGUUAAACAAAAUAAGAAUAGAAAGGAAUUUCUUCAACCUGCUAAAGAGGGUUGAUAAAACCCCACAGUUGUAAUACUUAGUGGUGAAAGACUGAAUGUUUUCCUCUGAGAUUAGGAAUAAGACAAAGAUGUCUGUUCUCACUACUUCUUUUUAACACUGUAACAAAGUUUCUAGCCAAGGCAAUUAGGCAGGACAAAGAAACAAAAGUCAUCCCAGUUGGAAAAGAAGUAAAAAACAAAACAAAA